This is an RNA transcript of Hypomesus transpacificus, 1320 nucleotides long. It is a transcript of the gene named small EDRK-rich factor 2b, with no coding region annotated. The record is from RefSeq and is a predicted model, not a curated record. NCBI's taxonomy places the organism in Eukaryota, Metazoa, Chordata, Actinopteri, Osmeriformes, Osmeridae. The transcript has 3 exons.
GAUGUUCUCGCGUUAUAUAGUCUCGCGAUGUUGGAUCAACUUCACCAGCGGAACAAUAGUUGGUAGGUUGUUCUCGGACGUGCGGGAAAGCAGAAAUUGGCUCGACUAGGAGAGAGUGAGCGGCCCUUGGGGUGAGCUUAUCUGGAGUUCGAGAAGCAUCAACAACAUAAAAAUGACCAGUGGGUAUCAACAUAUUAACUAACCGAGGAAAUCAACGUGAUCUUGCCCGCUUAAAGAAUGCCAAGAAGCAAGGGGACCAAAAUAAGGGGAAGAGGAGCAAUGAUGGUUUGUCUGCUGCAGCCCGUAAGCAGAGGGAUGCAGAGAUAAUGCAACAGAAGCAGAAAAAAGCAAGUGACAAGGGAAGUGACAAGUCUAAAUAACCUUGGAAAAGGAGUCCAGUUCGUAAAGGACGUCCCUCGCUUCGCUUACUUCUGAGUUUUGAGAAUGGAGCAAUCAUACUGUCUAGGUUCCGGAAAAUAGAAUCCUACAAACCUAUAUUCUUUCCUAUGGCAAAUUACAUUGUGUGUUGAAUUUUGGAUUAGUUUAAAAUGUUAAUCUGGUGAAAUAAAGUUUGCCCACUUAAAAACGUGUUUCAUUAAAAAGUGUCAAUUGUGUUGGAGAAUAAAGCUACAUAACAAUUGUGUAUUUUUGUAUCAAUCAUGACCCACUGACCCCAAAUAAAGUGUGUCUUUUUAGUUCACAUUUACUGGAGUUCAUUUUCAGAGAAAUGCAUUCAAUUUAACAAUAACUCAUUGGUCUGACUUCUUGGCACUUGUUCUUUGUGGGACUCAUGAUAGUUAUGGCAUCUUACACAACUACUAAUAGGAAUAUGUUAAUAGGAGUAUGUACGUAGUCAGUUGGGUUUAAUGAAAGAUAACAUGUCUAACGAUGCCAUUGUAAGUAAUCCAUUUUAAAACAGACAAUAAUUAACUUGAGUUUUGUGUACACAUCCUAAUAAGAACUACACAGUCAUUGCUUACGGAUUACAUUUUUUAUCUUGGUGCUAUUGACCUUGAACUCUGAAAAUAACAUCCUUGUGCUCAAUUCUACCAGAUUUAUUCACAUCACACACCAUGAAGAACAUCAAGAACAUCAAUCAUUCCGAGUGUGACAAUUAGUGACCUCCACUGCAUCUCACAGGAUCUCAGUACUAAUUUCAUCACUCGUUUGUAUUCCAUUUUAUCUCUGAGUCUACAUCAAAUGGUUUCAGAAUAUAAAGGGAUCAAUGAGAGUAAUUACAAAUUUGCUAGGGAAUGAAUGGUAAAAUACAUCAGUUGACAUCCAAACAAUAAUCUAUUUUCUUAAACCCUUAACCCAAAU